RNAcentral lists this long non-coding RNA (3093 nucleotides) under Capsicum annuum. RNAcentral describes it as "long non-coding RNA (CANN_LNC002318)". Lineage: Eukaryota; Viridiplantae; Streptophyta; Magnoliopsida; Solanales; Solanaceae. The record is from RNAcentral.
CGCCGCCGGUACCAAUGGCUCGCCGGAGGUAGUGACCGGCGAGUUCCAAUCAGCCGAGUUCCCUUUCCCUUCUCCCUUUUACCCUACUGCUGCUCGACGCCGGUAAAAUAUAAGCGACGCACAAAUCAGCCGGUGAACUCCAUCACUGCUCCGGCCAGAUCUGGACGAAAUGAUCCAAGAUCCGAGCUCCGACACACCACACCGAUGCUGUCCACCAAAAAUAGCCCAGAUCUGGUCGUGUUUUAUUUUUCCGGCGAUUGCCGUUGAAGCAACGCCGGUGACCCAUUCCCUAUUGGUCUCUAUUUUUAUUUGAUUUCAUAUUUGGCAGCAGCCAUGGCCAUGAUACCAAAAAAAGAGCUCAAAUUUGGGUGAGUCCCCACUAACGCCGGCGACCCCUCGACUCGUUAAUGUCUUUUUCAUAUAAGUUUGGACAUAUUUUUGUGUUCUCAUAUGUUUUUUUUUUAUGAUUUGCUAGACUGUUUUGAUUCUGAUGAUUUGGUAUAAUUUUGCCGGAUAAUAUUACUCACUGGAUUGCUGCUUGCUUAUGUUGCUCUGGUAUUGGUUUUGCUCUGUUAUGUCCUUGUGACAACUUUAGUUUUCAUUUGUUUAGAUUGCUGAUUUUUUAAUAUUAUUGGAUGAUUAUCCUUGUAAAAUACUGAUAACAAAUCAAUACUAUAUUACUUUGACCGAUGGAGAAAUUAUUCAUUGAUUUUCGAGGCCUUCACCAAUAAAAAGAUAGAAUUUUACCUAUACGAAUAAGUGGCGAAAUUCUUAUAAUAUUUUUAAAAUUUUAUUUGAGUACAUUAUGAGAGUGUUUUGUACAGACUAUUGAGAUUACUCAUCAAGAAUGAUUUUCAAAGAAACUUUAAAUUUGCAUUAUAUUUUUUAUAUUUUUAUACUUGUACAAAUAUUAUCAUAGUGAAAUUUUAUUUUUUUAGUGUUGGAAGGAAUAUUCUUUAUUUACCCAAUUAUCAUCACGCGUUAGAAAAAUUUAGGUCGUUACUAUUUAUAUAAAAGGAUUAAAUUGAUUUAGAUAUUUAAUCGAAUAAUUCAUAUUUUUUAACCUAAAAACAUUACGUAAUCUUUUUUUUUGAACAAAUUUUUCUUUAUUUAAUCUUUUUAUUUUUCAUAUAUAUUCUCAUGUACUUUUGUUUAUUUUCAUACACUUUUUAUAUAUAUAUUUUACGAUAACAUAUGUAAUUUACACAUUCAUUAUAUAUAAAUUGUUUAUAUUGUUUUAAUACUUAUUUUGUAUUUGUAUUUACAAACAUCAAUUUUUUCUCUUUUUUUUAAUAAACCUAAGUUUAGUCGGAAACCACAUUUGUGGAUUCUGAAGGGUGUCUAAUACCUUUUCUUUGGAAUAAUUUGAACACUUAUCUAGAAUCUAAAUUGAUUAGUAAAGUAAACCACAAGUCAUACAUAUUAAUACAUAAAUAGCUUUCCUUAUUUUUCUUAAAUAUUAGGUGGCGACUCUGUACGUAAUUUAUUCUUUUAGAGUCGAUAAUGUCGUGUUUGUUUUGAUCUUAGAUAAAAAAAUCAGGUAUGACAAUGCUUAUCAAUUCAGCAAGAGAGAUGACAGAGAGAUCUUUAGACUCUUCUAAAGUGGAGAUUUUGGACUCAAAUCUUUCAGGAAAAGUCACCAAAAUUUUUCAACUAUUUUAUUGUCUUUAAAAUCUUUGCCAAACAAUCUGAUUAUAUUGACAAUAAAAGAAAUUCUAUCAGAAUACUUAAUAAUUGUCUCACCUUCUUGCAUCCUAAGAGAUUCAAAAUCUUUUUUUUAAAUUCAGAGUUUGAUUUUGUCUACCUCGUUUACUUCCUUGGUGCUCCUUUUCAAACUUUUCUUAAGCUUCUUUUGUUGUUUCGCAUGCAAUGAUUUUUGAAAAAAUUGAAUCAACAACUGAAUUUUGAAUUACAAUUUUUUCUUUAUAUUUUUUUUUAUUUCUCUUUUGAGUAAAGUUUGAUUUCGGCAGCAGAAGAUUUAGCUGUGAGUGGUUGUAUAGGUUUCUCUUUCUUUACAACUUCCGACAAAUCAUAAGCUUCAAAUUAAAAUUUUAUCUUAACUGCCCAAAUUUGAUAAUUUUCACCAGUGAAGUUUGUGGAGAAAAUUGAAGGAGAGAUGUCUUUUAAGUCUUGAAUGAAGGAUUGGUGACAUUGACCAACUUAAAGGGUCAAACAUUAUUAGAAAACUUGAUUAAGUUAAUUGUGAACUUGAUUAAUAUUUUCAAAACUUUCUAAUCUUUUAAAAAAUACAAAUCAACCUAACCCACACCCCUUUUCAAUCCAAAUCAACCAGUCUCUCUUCUCUUUCUCGAUAGUUUCUCUCAACUCUCUCUCAACCAACAGUUUUGCAAAUUUCUCCUUUCAAUCCUCCGCAACUUCAACAUCUGACAACAAAUAGUUGGGAUUCGAGUUCCUUUUCGACUUCAACCUUCAAUCGAUGUGACAGCCUUACUCUCUGGCCACAACAGCUUCGAAUUCUUCAACCUUCAAUCGACGUGACAGCCUUGCUCUCCGGCCACAACAGCUUCGAAUUCAUCAUCGUUCCUUUUCUUCUUUCACAGGUAAAAAUUUAUGGUCUUUUUAGUUUUGAAGAAAACGAGGAACUUGAGUCAACUUCUCUUAUAGUAUUGUUAAUAAUUUCAAUAUUUAUUAUUUUAAUUUGAAAUGCGGUCUCAAUAAAACCUUAAUUUCUGGUAUUUCUUCUCUUCUCUUUUCGAAGUGAAUAAUUAUUUUUUGUUGUUUGUUGCGUUUUUUUUAAGUUUGAUUUUCUUUGUUUGUGUUUAUAAAAACAAAACAACAAUUUGGGUUGAUUUGUUCUUUUCUUGUUCUUGGUAAAAAUGGUGAUAUUGUUGUUUUUCUGUUGAACAAAAUCGUGCUACUGUUUUUUUUAUCGAACAGAUUAUCCUUCUGGUGCAACAUAUAACCAUCCGAUGCAACAGAUUUGUCAGAUGAUGCAAUAGAUCAACCAUCUGAUGCACUAGAGGAACCAUCAGAUUAUAAUUUUGAUGCAACAGAUUUAACAUAUGAUGCAAUAGUUAAACUAUUUGAUUCAACAUAUUAACCAUAUGUUGCAACAGAUUAAGAAUUGGAUAA